CUGGCGUCAGGAUGAACGCUAGCGACAGGCCUAACACGUGCAAGUCGAGGGGCAGCACAGGAGCAAUCUGAGGUGGCGACCGGCGCACGGGUGAGUAACACGUAUGCAACCUGCCUGUAAGCGGGGAAUAACCCGUUGAAAAGACGGACUAAUACCGCAUAAUACUAAAUUACUGCAUGGUAAUUUAUUUAAACAUUUAUGGCUUACAGAUGGGCAUGCGCAUGAUUAGCUAGUUGGAGAGGUAACGGCUCCCCAAGGCAACGAUCAUUAGGGGUUCUGAGAGGAAGGUCCCCCCACACUGGUACUGAGACACGGACCAGACUCCUACGGGAGGCAGCAGUGAGGAAUAUUGGUCAAUGGACGAGAGUCUGAACCAGCCAAGUCGCGUGCAGGAAGAAUUGUCCUAUGGAUUGUAAACUGCUUUUGCAGGGGAAUAAAGUGCAUCACGUGUGAUGUUUUGUAUGUACUCUGCGAAUAAGGAUCGGCUAACUCCGUGCCAGCCGCGGC
RNAcentral lists this ribosomal RNA (507 nucleotides) under uncultured bacterium. RNAcentral's name for it is "bacterial SSU rRNA". It matches the Rfam family "Bacterial small subunit ribosomal RNA", at positions 18 to 518 of the family's 1533-position model. The record is from RNAcentral.